Molecule: unclassified non-coding RNA, 240 nt
Filed under: soil metagenome
Description: partial contains 5.8S ribosomal RNA, internal transcribed spacer 2, and large subunit ribosomal RNA
Source: RNAcentral
AACGGUCUAUACCUGCGGUACCUGCGGAGGGAUCAUCAUUGAAAAAAAAUUUUUCAAGCCAGAAAAAGGAAACCUUUUUCUGGCUUGCAAACAACAUAAAUACCCAAAAAGAGGAAAAGUUUUCUUAGAAGGGGGAGGGAGAAAAAGAGGGGAAAAAAAACUCCCCCUUUUUUUUCCCGAUCCCAAAAGGAAAACGGGAAUUUCACAAAAUUUUUUGGUGAUGUGAUUGCCUGAUAUAAA